Molecule: ribosomal RNA, 423 nt
Filed under: uncultured bacterium
Lineage: Bacteria
Description: bacterial SSU rRNA
Rfam family: Bacterial small subunit ribosomal RNA
Source: RNAcentral
GGAAUAUUGGACAAUGGGCGAAAGCCUGAUCCAGCCAUGCCGCGUGUGUGAAGAAGGUCUUCGGAUUGUAAAGCACUUUAAGUUGGGAGGAAGGGUAGUAACUUAAUACGUUGCUAUUUUGACGUUACCGACAGAAUAAGCACAGGCUAACUAUGUGCGAGCAGCCGCGGUAAUACAGAGGGUGCAAGCGUUAAUCGGAAUUACUGGGCGUGAAGCGCGCGUAGGUGGUUCAGUAAGUUGGAUGUGAAAUCCCCGGGCUCAACCUGGGAACUGCAUCCAAAACUGCUGAACUAGAGUACGGUAGAGGGUGGUGGAAUUUCCUGUGUAGCGGUGAAAUGCGUAGAUAUAGGAAGGAACACCAGUGGCGAAGGCGACCACCUGCACUGAUACUGACACUGAGGUGCGAAAGCGUGGGGAGCAAAC